CGGUCGAUUUCUUUCUCGACUCGCGUAUACAUCUAGCGUCAUCUCUCGCGAGUACCUUUCUGUCCGACCAAUCCACGAGUUCCAAAAGGAAAGCUCACAUCGAGCGAGCACCGUCGACCAAUCGGAGCCCUCGAAAAAUUUGCCUAGGAAUUUUUCCGUCUCGAAGUAUCCAGUACCGAGUUAACCUUCGAUCGACUCGCCUUUAACCUCUUCGUCGAAGCAACAUUUUUUGACUUUAUCCAUCGAAUCGUUCGAGGAAUCAACGAUGACUCUAUUUGCGAAAGUUUAUAGCGUUUUUAUGAUAAAUUGGUUCGUACACUUGUAUGUGACCGAUUUUGAAAACGGGAAACAUCAUUUCUUCGGUUUCAAUCCAGUAUGGCCGACGGAUGGAAGAGCGGAUAGAAUCGAUCCCAAAACGUGGACCGGUUAGGACGGCAUCGAAUGGAUAUGCUUGUGAUAAUAGACUUUGUCGUCCAAUCCGUAGAAUUACAUCUAUUUGUCAAGUAGAUACGACCCGUAUGGAAAUGUAACGAGGAUAAGCUUCGAAUAAAGUGGAUUCCGUCGUUAUAAACCGUA
Long non-coding RNA from Vespula vulgaris, 576 nucleotides. RefSeq lists it as uncharacterized. Lineage: Eukaryota; Metazoa; Arthropoda; Insecta; Hymenoptera; Vespidae. The record is from RefSeq and is a predicted model, not a curated record. The transcript is spliced from 2 exons.